UCCGCUUGUUGCAGAUUCCACCAGUGAGCUUUGACUUCUCAGCAAUCUCUCUCUCAAGAGGCUUCCCAGAAAUCCAGCCGUUCAGCUCACCCCUGAAUGCACUUUGAGCAACUGGCUGCCUCUCCCGCUUCUGCUGGCAUGAGAACCUGGGACAUUGAAACAGGGAUGUGAUCGUCAUGUCUAAGGCUUUGGGAUGGCUCAAACUGCUUCCUCCCUUUUCUCCCUUCAGCUCCACAGAGAGGCAAUAACUAUGGAAGAGAGAAGUAAGUGAUGAUGCUCGUUAUAAAGACUCUACUGUCCUGCUGAAUAUCUCUAUGGUCU
This 321-nucleotide long non-coding RNA is filed under the name Equus caballus (horse). RNAcentral describes it as "lncRNA (ENSECAG00000031057.3)". The record is from RNAcentral. Lineage: Eukaryota; Metazoa; Chordata; Mammalia; Perissodactyla; Equidae.